RNAcentral lists this ribosomal RNA (253 nucleotides) under uncultured prokaryote. RNAcentral's name for it is "partial 16S ribosomal RNA". It matches the Rfam family "Bacterial small subunit ribosomal RNA", at positions 524 to 776 of the family's 1533-position model. The record is from RNAcentral.
UACAGAGGGGGCAAGCGUUGUUCGGAAUUACUGGGCGUAAAGGGCGCGUAGGCGGCCUGUUAAGUCGAACGUGAAAUCCCCGGGCUCAACCCGGGAACUGCGUCCGAUACUGGCAGGCUUGAAUCCGGGAGAGGGAUGCGGAAUUCCCGGUGUAGUGGUGGAAUGCGUAGAUAUCGGGAGGAACACCAGUGGCGAAGGCGGCUUCCUGGACCGGUUCUGACACUGAGGAGCGAAAGCGUGGGGAGCGAUCCGG